Molecule: ribosomal RNA, 254 nt
Filed under: uncultured bacterium
Lineage: Bacteria
Description: partial 16S ribosomal RNA
Rfam family: Bacterial small subunit ribosomal RNA
Source: RNAcentral
UACGUAGGGAGCGAGCGUUGUCCGGAUUCAUUGGGCGUAAAGAGCUCGUAGGCGGCUUGGUAAGUCGGAUGUGAAACCUCCAGGCUCAACCUGGAGUCGCCAUCCGAUACUGCCAUGGCUAGAGUCCGGUAGGGGCCCACGGAAUUCCUGGUGUAGCGGUGAAAUGCGCAGAUAUCAGGAGGAACACCGAUGGCGAAGGCAGUGGGCUGGGCCGGCACUGACGCUGAGGGGCGAAAGCGUGGGGAGCGAACAGG